GAGCUGGGAAAUCUCGAGGCACAGGUGCCACAUGUCAGAAGAGCAGCAUAAGCAUUAAGAAUCUUCAUCUUGCUUUAAAACAUCUCACCAAUCAUGGUUAGAUUCCUGCUGCUAUGAUGACCAACUUCAUUAUUUCUCUCUCAAAGAGUAGAAGCAUGUGAGUUAAUUUGAGACUUCAAGGUGCUGCUCCAAUACUAUUUUCCAGGUCUCAUCUGGAUCCCCCUCACCCCUUGCUUAUUAAAAGUGCCUUCCGCCUAGAGACUGUAAAUAUGGAUGCACGCCUGGGGAUGUCUUGAGCCUAGGCUGCAGUUUGUAUAUACGGUGGAUUGCAUUAAUGGAUUUUCAUAUGUUGAACUACCCCUGCAUCCCCCGGAUGAAGCCUGUUUCAGCAUGGUGGUUGUUCUUUUAUUCACAGUUAGUAAUGAUCCUGGGAGUUAAAUGCGGCUGCGAGAGUU
Long non-coding RNA from Mus musculus (house mouse), 455 nucleotides. RefSeq annotates it as predicted gene, 53886. The record is from RefSeq and is a predicted model, not a curated record. The transcript has 4 exons. Lineage: Eukaryota; Metazoa; Chordata; Mammalia; Rodentia; Muridae.